UACGUUUGACCACUCAAUGGUUUGACAGAGAAUUUGGAUACGACGUCCCUGUACUUCCCAGGACAGCAUAGAGACACUAGAUCUAUCACUAUGGAUGAUACAUCACAAUAUAGCAAAGCAAAGACGUCUGUGGACACUUGGCUAGAGGAAUUCAAUAAACGUGACACGACGUGUACGUAACAGCUGCUGCAAGGUCUGUCUGCUUUUGAAGUCUGUUGUACUACCGAUGCUUGAUGGUGAACCUUUUCAACCACAUCUAGUACACGUAUAAGGAUGGGGAGCACUGGUUGAAGGAUGAGCCAGUGGAUAACUACAUGAGGUGAGUUUGUACUACUGGAGAGGAAGUAUAAUGUGGCAAGAUAGUCUGUGCUAAAUACAGUCAGCUAAGUUUGAGAAAAAAGUGAAGAGUCUCAAGAUCGCUAAGAAAGUGCGCGAGUGUGUGUUGACUGUUUAGGAAUAAUUAUUAUUAAUUUUAUGCUUGCCCAUAAUUACUUUUCAACUUAGUGAAGUUUUACACCUCAGAUAAAUUAUUUGUCUCUGUAUUGAAUUGUGCACACAACCUACGUACCCAUAUAGUGGGUUAUUUUCG
Halichondria panicea is the source of this 589-nucleotide long non-coding RNA. RefSeq lists it as uncharacterized. Lineage: Eukaryota; Metazoa; Porifera; Demospongiae; Suberitida; Halichondriidae. The record is from RefSeq and is a predicted model, not a curated record. The transcript has 3 exons.